AGGACGAACGCUGGCGGCGUGCUUAACACAUGCAAGUCGAACGGUGACGGAGGAGCUUGCUCCCCCCGAUCAGUGGCGAACGGGUGAGUAACACGUGAGUAACCUGCCCCAGACUCUGGGAUAACAUCGGGAAACCGGUGCUAAUACCGGAUAUGAGACGAGAUUGCAUGAUCAUCGUCUGGAAAGUAUUUAUCGGUCUGGGAUGGACUCGCGGCCUAUCAGCUAGUUGGUGAGGUAAUGGCUCACCAAGGCGACGACGGGUA
RNAcentral lists this ribosomal RNA (263 nucleotides) under uncultured soil bacterium. RNAcentral describes it as "partial 16S ribosomal RNA". It matches the Rfam family "Bacterial small subunit ribosomal RNA", at positions 26 to 285 of the family's 1533-position model. The record is from RNAcentral.